This is a long non-coding RNA of Pseudopipra pipra, 4332 nucleotides long. RefSeq lists it as uncharacterized. The record is from RefSeq and is a predicted model, not a curated record. NCBI's taxonomy places the organism in Eukaryota, Metazoa, Chordata, Aves, Passeriformes, Pipridae. The transcript is spliced from 2 exons.
AGAAAAGGGCACAUCUGUAGCAGUGUUUCCCCUGGUAGCAUCUUCCCAAACCCUCCCAGCUUCUGCCAGUCUGCAGGACUGUACACAAAGAAACAAUGCACAGAACUGUGGCAUGAAGAAAUGAUAUACAGAUGUAGCUGAUGCUGAAAAUGCAAUUUGCAUAAUAUGGUAAUGUAUGCAUUAUAGUUCCAACUACAUACAUGAUCAAAGCAUCCAUUGUAAAUGAUAAUGCAAAUUAAUUUUAGGCUCAUUAUUAUUAAUUGAACCUGAAUAGAAAACAGAUUCAGUAAAAAUAGAAUAAAGAAACAAACUGAAACUAUGUAGGGAAACAGUCAUUAAUGUGAUUAUUCUCUCUGACUUAUAGUUAGGCACAUGCUCCUUCUGCCUGUGUUUCUCCUGCCUUCUCUGGUAUAAUUUCAGAUACAAUUUCUCCUUUAUUCCGUAGCUCAUGCUCUUGGUUUCUCUUUUGAUGUUCAUGUCACUCUCUCAGCAUAGUUUCUCAAAUGUAUUAUUAAGGUCUGCAUGGUCUAAUAGGUUGCCAUUAUCCUAAGCUUUAUUCAUUCCUUUUCCAAAUUAAAUCAAACUUGGGCUUGAAUAAUGUUGAUAGGGACAUUUGCGUAAACUAAGUUUGUUACUGCAGUAAUGGGGUUGUUUUUGUGAAUUAAUGGGUCAUUUGUUUUUAAAAACAGAACACCAGCAUGUUCCUGAUGUUCCUGCCCCUUCUCAAAACUCUUUCAUGGUGAUCUUUUGUCCUGUUGUAAUGGUUUCUGGUUUCUGCAGUGCCUGGAGACAGAAGAAGGAUAAAAUUCUGGGAUUUAGCCAUUACCCAGCACUGGAGUUUCUGUCCUAAAAUGGGUUUAGAAUAAUUUAUUCAUGUAAUGUAAUUAUAUCCUGAUUUUUUGCUAAAUAUACUUAAAUCUGGUGAGACUACAUUUCUUUUUUCUUUUUCCUAGACAGUAUUAGAGUGUGAUCUUCAAUGACUACUAAUUAUUUAGCAUUGACAGCUCUCAAACGUAAGAGGGCAGGGUCAGUUUCCUUAGAAUUAAAGCCACCAUUAGAAUAUGAGCAUCUUUUAUUUCUCUGUGAAUAUUUUGACUUUACCAUAAACCUACUCUCAGUAUAGGAUAAUGGAUUGGGCAAAGACUGCACACAGUUGUAGAUGCAAAAUAAUAUUAAAUUUCUUCCUAAAUUGAGGAGGCAAAACAAGACAGAUAAAGUCUGUGAUCUCAUUCCUAGGAACGUUUCCGUCUGUCUCUUCUUAGUAAGAUCUUAACAACUUCAUUCUGGCAUUUCAGAGGAAAUGCCAUUUUAAGUGAUAAUUAAUCUUAUUCUUUUCCUUACUGUUAUUGUUUUUUUCCUUAUUACAGACCUUGUGAUUUACUUAAAUGUGGUGGUGUUAGAAAUGCUAAUGAAAAUGUUUUCCUUUUUUUUUACAGCUUAUACUAUAUUGACACUUAUAACUGCAGUGACAUUGCACAGAGCUUAUUAUCUUUAUAUCACAGGAUGUAUUAGCUAAAACCCAAUCACUUUCCUAGAAUCAUUUUGAAAAAUGUGUUGGAGCAAUGUUGUAUUUGUAUCACAGUGGCCACUUCUGAACCAAAUGGCCAAUAUCCCAUUGAUCCAAUACUGCCUGCAGGGAGCAAAGGUAGGGUGACAACUGGGAGAGGUAUUUUGCUCCCUGCCCCUUGCACUUUUACCCUGCUGUAUUUGAGAUGUUCUCACCUUGUCUCCUUCAAGGGACAUACAGGCAAGAAAAAGCGAAGCUCUUUUCCCACUGUCAAGUAUGAAAACAUUGUGCUUGGGAAGUCCCAGUUACCAAAUGUUUCUGUAGGAUAUGCAGGCACUAACAGCAUCAGAGCAUGCCCAAAAGAUUGAUUUUGUCACCUUUAUUCAUGAUAAACGACAUUUCACUUCAUGUGCGCUCACUGAAGUCAGCAGGACUUUGAAGUAGAGUAUGCAGAUACUGAUUUUGAACCCUGGGCCAGAAAUCCCUCGCUCUUCCCAAAUUUUGCAUUUUUCAGAAAUGCUGGUCACUGUUUUAACAGCUCUAAAACCGGGUGUUGCAGGUGUCCCAUACUGACAGCUGCAAUUUUACUGAUGCUAUGCAGCACAGGAUGUCCAGUCUUAGUACAUUUCAAGGCACAGGAAAUGCAACUCCAUAUCUGAAUCCAUAAGAAGAAAGGAGUCUUUCAAAGUUCAAGAAUUCAAAAAGACUGUGGACAACAGUACAUGGUGAUAUAUAAAAACUAAUUACAGACCUUGAUACCUGUACACUGCUGGCCUUCCACUCCCCAAAAGCCCACAGGUGAGGAGGUUCACAAAUGGGAAAUGCAGAACAAAUGGAUCCUUAUUGUGGAGACUGACUGAAAACAGCAUGAAAAAUACAAGGUGCUACACAGAAACCUUUGAGUCAGAAUGGGUGGGUAACUAUACAAAUAAUAAACAAAAUAAAAAUAUGUAGAGAAAUAUGCAUGUGUUCAGUGUGCUCAAAAUUAGUCCAUUGCAUUGUUUCCUGAGGCCAUAAUUUGUGUCAGCUGUUCAGCAGGAUUCAAAAUCUGACUAAAUAUUCAUGUGAACAACAGACAACUCCCAAGGUAUAAAACUGGGUUUUCUUGAAGUCCUAUUGAAGAGGUUAUACCUUUCUACUUUGUAAGGUAUAGGGCAGUUCCUGAUCAUCAAGAGCAAAGAGGAGAUUUUUCCAAAGAAUAUAUGUUUAUUUCUUCCUUAUUUCCUUGCACUUUCUCUAAACUUCUGUUCACUAACGGUAUGAUCAUGGAAAUCAUGGACUACUGCAGCCUGAUCCAACAUGGUGAUUCCUCCAGCUCUAAUGAGAAUGGAUAUUCAAUAAAAAAAUAAAACAUCUUGUGACAUGCAAAAGGUGGAAAGGGACAAAACACUUCAGGCCAACGUCAGAAAGUCCCUAUGAGAUCUGCUCUAGAUUACUCACUGUUUUUUUUUAAUUUUCACAUGGCUUACUCUUGCAGACUUUGCCUGUCUGAUACCUCUCAGCUUCAUAGGAUUUUUUUCAGAGAUGGACAAUAGGUGGUUUUGGCACAACUCCUGUUUGUUGUGGUGUUGGAUGGCAAACAUGACAAACUGUAAAGUCACAUCCUAGACAUUCUGUUGUGUACUCAUAUUCUGGUAUGAUAUAAUUUUAAGGAAUGUGAUUGUGAUUUCCAGCACUACAAGCUGAAAUCAGGAUUUGGUUGUAUACCAUGUAAAAUACUGUCUCUCUAUGAAUUUCAGCUCAUGUCAAUACAUCUCCAUAUGCAAUGCUGGAAAGCAUCACCAAUUACUGUGUCUGUUUACAGAGCACAAGAACAGAAUAUUUAAUUUUACCAGCCUCUAAGGACAACAAAGCUGAAUUUGAACUCUAGUUAAAGUUUUGCUGAUUACUCCUGACCUUUCUGGGACAAAGACAUGAAGGUCACUGGAGUCAUGAUUUUUUUCACAAUCUGCUUGUCUUUGUCAUUCCCCUAAUAAUGCAGAGGACUAGAAACAAGAGCUGGGUGGUGUUUUUUUCCCCCUGCCUGGAAAUCUAUUUAGAUUAGUCACCAGGUUUUCCAGUCUAUGGUCAUUGAAGGUCAUUUGGUUUAUAGCUGAAAUUCUCAAUUGGAACCUCAUCUUGUAAUCAGAACUUAAAACCCAAGCAAGGUUUUGUAUCUCCUCUGAAAGGGUAGGUUGUUGUAUGAUUAGCUUUAGAAUGUUAAAUGGACUGUCUGUGUAAUGAUGGGUAAUUUUGGGGGGCUUAAAUUGCACUAGGGGAAGACCUGUCUUGAAUAAUAAUAUUGGCUAUAUUAUAAAGAACAGUAUUCUAGUCUUCUCCUAAAUGCUAAUUCUAUUACACAUUAACAUUUCCUUUGCAGUAAAAUGGCAAAAGGCAAGCCAGCAAGACGUAAAAAUCUUGCAAAGUGCAUUUUCACUUCUAGACUGUUCCUAAGAGCAAGCAGUUUCCUGAAAAUGUCCCUUAAAUAAGCAUCCACUUACAAUGGUCAUCAUCAUACAGUCAGCAUCUGCUAAUAGCUGCUCCACAGCCUCGGUUGCUGGCAAACACAGAGCAUUUGUUGUAAUGUAUACAGUGAUGGAAAUGGGUGUAUAAUUUUUGCGCUAUUUUUUUUUUAACUGUUCUUAGCCCUAAGUAUGAAACUUCAGUUGGAUAGUAUAGAGGUACUCCCAGAGAAUGUUCGUAAAGCCUGAUGUCCUGUAUGUUCUUUGAGUCUGUAAGACUACUGGUGAGAACCUGUUGACUGAUUGAUUGAUUGAUCAAUUGAUUGUUUUAAUGUCUCUUUGGCCCAUGUGCAACUCAAACUCAAAUACAAAUAUAUACAUUUA